Molecule: unclassified non-coding RNA, 359 nt
Filed under: uncultured bacterium
Lineage: Bacteria
Description: contains 16S-23S intergenic spacer region
Source: RNAcentral
UCCCCGUUACCGGGGCAGUCUGAAUAGAAAAAUACAACUAUUCACAAGGGUUGCGCUCGUUAAUGGACUUAACCAAACAUCUCACGACACGAGCUGACGACGGCCAUGCAACAGCUGUCACUUGGUUCAAUAAAGCACUCACUACUUUCAUAGUAAUUCCAAGGAUGUCAAACCCUGGUAAGGUUCAUCGGUUAUCAUCGAAUUAAAGAACAUAAUCCACCGCUUGUGCGGCUCCCCGUCAAUUCCUUUAUGUUUUAGUCUUGCGACCGUACUCCACAGGCGGAGUGUUUCACGCGUUAGCUGGGCCCCUGAUCCACGUAGACCAAGGGCGAACACUCGUCGUUUACGGCAUGGACUAC